AGAAAUAGAUAACACACUGGCAUUGGCCACAGUCUCUCAGGACCAGCUCACGAAGUCUUUCAGGACAAAGGUUUUGUCUUAACGCUCAAAGAUCUGCAGGACCCUGUAUGGUAGAAGAAACAUAUCAUUGUAUUUAGAAACUUCUCUAUACAUACAGGAAUUUGACAACAGUUUGUGCCACUUAUGGAUUUAAAGAACUGGCACCUUGAAUGGGAUUCUGAAUAGAAUUCGUACAGAUGGAAUGUAAAUAUCACCCUGAACUGAAUUGGCCCUCAUCCUGUCCAGCCAAUCUGGAAAUGUCUGGUUUGUCUCCUGGGAGCACUCCCCAAAGAACCUUCUACACACAGUUCUCCAACUCAAAGUCUGUUUUCAGGGAAUCCAAUUCAAGACAGGGAUAGUUGGAAGUCACAACCGUUCCAUGGACUUUGAUGUUCUUGAUAUUCAUUCUUGGUAUUGGCAUUAUGAGUUGUGACACUAGGAGGAGUCUCCAAGUGACUUUGAAAUGAGAAGACAGGAACAAAGAGGUGUCAUACAUCCCUCACAGAUGGUCAGAAAUAUCUAAAGAGUUUUUGCCAAAGAGAUAGGGUCCUGAAUGGGCAGCAGGGUUAAGAGAAAAAUGUGUAGUUAUUAAUGUUAAUGAGACAUCCUUUGCUACAAGAUGAUGGUGAGGUCUCAAGGAGAUCUAGGUUAUAUUUACAAGGGAUCACUCCAAUUACUACAUGUCCGUCUUUUCUAAAAUUAGACUUUAUUGUGCUCUAUUAAAAUAGCUUUAUCUUUAGAAGAGAGUUUCUCAAAAUGUGAUUUGGGGACCACCUGCAUCAGGAACACCUGAGAAUUUGUUAAAGUUGCAGAUUCUAGAGCCCCAUCUCAUGCUUACUGAACCAGAAUCUCUGGGAAUCUGCAUGUUUAUUUAACAAGUUUUUCAAAGCUUGCAUGUUUAGCCAGCUUUUAAAGUAAAAGUUUUCAACUGCUUUAGUUG
RNAcentral lists this long non-coding RNA (979 nucleotides) under Homo sapiens (human). RNAcentral describes it as "HSALNT0372881". The record is from RNAcentral. Lineage: Eukaryota; Metazoa; Chordata; Mammalia; Primates; Hominidae.